RNAcentral lists this transfer RNA (69 nucleotides) under Epixanthus frontalis. Its description in RNAcentral is "tRNA-Gln". Lineage: Eukaryota; Metazoa; Arthropoda; Malacostraca; Decapoda; Oziidae. The record is from RNAcentral.
UAUAUAUUAGUGUAAAGGGCACGAAAAGUUUUGGUCUUUUAAGGAAUGGUGUAAUUCCAUUAUAUGUAU